Molecule: ribosomal RNA, 253 nt
Filed under: uncultured bacterium
Lineage: Bacteria
Description: partial 16S ribosomal RNA
Rfam family: Bacterial small subunit ribosomal RNA
Source: RNAcentral
UACAGGGGGUGCAAACGUUGUUCGGAUUUACUGGGCGUAAAGCGCGUGUAGGCUGCUUCGCAAGUCGGAUGUGAAAGCCCUGGGCUCAACCCAGGAAGUGCAUUCGAAACUGCAGAGCUGGAGUCCUGGAGAGGAAGGCGGAAUUCUCGGUGUAGAGGUGAAAUUCGUAGAUAUCGAGAGGAACACCGGUGGCGAAGGCGGCCUUCUGGACAGUGACUGACGCUGAGACGCGAAAGCGUGGGGAGCAAACAGG